UCAUUAUGAAAGUUAAUAAAUUUACCCUUGAAUUGGAUGAAUUUCCUCAAAUUAAUUUUUUUUUACCCAGAUUCUCUUAAAUUAAUCGUUUUCAAUUUUACCCAAUCCAUACAUACCUAAUUAAAUUACUGUAGAGCUUUAGAUAUCACUAUUACAUAAUUAACCUGAUUCAUACAUUUUUUUUUCUCGUAGGUUCUUGACGUGGUUUCCAGGUGUUGUAAUUUCUAAUAUGAGAUUGCUCUGGUGGUUGCUCUGGUGGUUCAAAAUAUUCUUUUCUUGUUCUGUCCCACUUCCGCUUAGUUUUAGGUUGCAAAAUUGUAAAUCUUUACAUUGUACCUUGAAGCUUUCAUUUCCCAAUAAGUGAUGAGAAAUUGUCAAUCAUUAAUGUUUUACAUGCAUUGCAUGUGUUUGUUUUUCUUAGCCUUAACUUGUCAUAUAUCGAAAAGAAAACUCUGCAGUAUUUGUGGAGGAUAGAAUUUUCAAGUUGUCAUUUUUUCUUGGAUAUACGACUUCUUAGACAAAACAUAUUUGUAGCUUUUGAUAGAUUGAUUGUUGGUUUCUUUAUGCUCUGGCUCGUGGUAUUGUCAGUUAGAUUACUGUUGUUCAUAGCCAGACAAAUAAUUAGUGUAGAGCUUUAGAUAUCAUUGUUUUAAAAAAAUUAGUGUGUAGGUCGAGAAAGAUUGGUUGUCAAUACGUGAAAUUUG
This 704-nucleotide long non-coding RNA is filed under the name Capsicum annuum. Its description in RNAcentral is "long non-coding RNA (CANN_LNC017461)". Lineage: Eukaryota; Viridiplantae; Streptophyta; Magnoliopsida; Solanales; Solanaceae. The record is from RNAcentral.